GCUGAGAUGGCUCAGCUGGUAGAGCAUGAGACUCUUAAUCUCAGAUUCGUGGGUUUGAGCCCCACAUUGGGCA
Non-coding RNA from Podarcis lilfordi (Lilford's wall lizard), 73 nucleotides. The record is from the annotation of a GenBank genome assembly. NCBI's taxonomy places the organism in Eukaryota, Metazoa, Chordata, Lepidosauria, Squamata, Lacertidae.